RNAcentral lists this transfer RNA (64 nucleotides) under Psilodens balduri. RNAcentral describes it as "tRNA-Thr". It matches the Rfam family "tRNA". From Rfam's summary of the family: Transfer RNA (tRNA) molecules are approximately 80 nucleotides in length. The record is from RNAcentral. Lineage: Eukaryota; Metazoa; Mollusca; Caudofoveata; Limifossorida; Limifossoridae.
GAUAGAGUAGUUUAUAAAAACUUUGGUCUUGUAAACCAAUAAUAACAAUUUUUGUUUUCUUUCA